RNAcentral lists this small nucleolar RNA (137 nucleotides) under Ornithorhynchus anatinus (platypus). Lineage: Eukaryota; Metazoa; Chordata; Mammalia; Monotremata; Ornithorhynchidae. The record is from RNAcentral.
CACCCCUCAGGAUCGCACCUGGAGAGUUCCAGUACUCUACUAGUCUUGGCUACUGGAGGGAGAGUCAAGCAGAAGCAUACUCAUUCCAUUCCUAACUUGGGCAGUGGCUAGCGAGUGGAAGGCAAUCUGCUACAAGU